Molecule: ribosomal RNA, 301 nt
Filed under: uncultured bacterium
Lineage: Bacteria
Description: partial 16S ribosomal RNA
Rfam family: Bacterial small subunit ribosomal RNA
Source: RNAcentral
CAGCCGCCGCGGUAAUACGGAGGGGGCUAGCGUUGUUCGGAAUUACUGGGCGUAAAGCGCACGUAGGCGGAUAUUUAAGUCAGGGGUGAAAUCCCGCAGCUCAACUGCGGAACUGCCUUUGAUACUGGGUAUCUUGAGUAUGGAAGAGGUUAGUGGAAUUGCGAGUGUAGAGGUGAAAUUCGUAGAUAUUCGCAGGAACACCAGUGGCGAAGGCGGCUAACUGGUCCGAUACUGACGUUGAGGCACGAAAGCGUGGGGAGCAAACAGGAUUAGAUACCCCUGUAGUCCCUGUCUCUUAUAC